This is an RNA transcript of Hemicordylus capensis (graceful crag lizard), 8287 nucleotides long. It is a transcript of the gene named ELKS/RAB6-interacting/CAST family member 2, with no coding region annotated. The transcript has 23 exons. The record is from RefSeq and is a predicted model, not a curated record. NCBI's taxonomy places the organism in Eukaryota, Metazoa, Chordata, Lepidosauria, Squamata, Cordylidae.
GCACUUAGGAGCAAGGGCAGCAGGAAAAGGAGGAGGAGAACCGGGCAGACCUGGGGGAUGCCGAGGCUGUAGCGAUCUCUGCUUAAUGUGUGUACGUCGGUUGCUGCUACCGCACAAUGAAAGGGGAGCUGAUAGGACUGCCGAGGGCCCCGUCCCUUCACCAAUGAGCUCCGCUCACACUGAGCGGGUGGCAGGGCUUGUCUGCGAAGCAUUGUGGGAAUUGGAGUCCAGCCCGAAGCCUAUGCCUUCCCCCCCGCCCCCCCUCCCUCUUUUCUGCUUUCCGGACUCCUUCCCUCACCCCACACGAUCCCGCUGUCAAGUGGCGCGCGCGCCGUUCCCUGACGGAUGAGCGGGAAGGGGAAUGGAGAAAGCCAAGAGAGCCGUUAGAGACUCGUCUCGAGAUGUGGCUGAACGUUCCUUUCAUGGCGGGCUCGGGCAGGGGUCGUUUCUGUAUAUGAGCAAUUCAUGCCUUAUCCAAGAGUGUUAAUUUGACCGUUGUCUCUCAAGGAUGAUGUCACCGUCUUAUUGAGCCGUUUGGGUAGGCAAGCUAACAAUCUAAACAAGUGACACCUCUGCUGGUUAUUUAUAGGCAAAGUUUUGGAAAGACUUCGUUGCCUAUGGCUGAAAAUUCACAAAAUGCAGAAGGAAGCCCAGCCUAACAAUGAUAUGAUAUUUAAUGCCAUGGUUGUCUUAUGCCAAAGAAGUGGUAAACCGCGUGGAAUUGUUUGAUAAAGUAUCAUUUAAAUGAGUAAAACCACUACUUCUUAGGCAGCACCAAGAAGUUCCACGGAUCAUUGCACCGAAUUUAGCACUGAGCAACUUUGUAAAAUAUCCUUAGAAAAACAAAAUUAAGCGGGGAGUGGCAUCAGAUGGAUGGCUAAGGCCCAAGUUCUCUCAGGUCAGUGAAGUGGCCAAAAUACUAAUAUUUCAGCAUAUUUCAAGAAAUGUAAAUAGGCAAAUCAAACAAGGACAGGCUUAAGAAGAGGAAAGUCUUGGGAGAAGAUCUGAAACCUUCCUGUUCCAGUCCAUUCUGAGAGAUCUGGGUUCCUCCCAGAUUUAUUGUCCUGGGCAGACAAGAUGGCUGGAAGGGUGAACCUGAGCCAGAGCAGCAACUUCAUAAGCAUAUAGAAAACAUACAGAAGAAAGAAAUGUGUAUGUGUCACAACACAAUUGUGGAUAGAAUCCAGUCUUUGCUUAGCCCCCUUAGUGAGCAGUUCACAGAAGUACCGCCCCAUAUACAAAUCUCUGGGCAGUUGGCAGUCUAUUGAUGACAUCCAAAGCUACUUCUCCAUGUCAACCUCAUCAGAAGAAGGCAUAACUUCCCUAAAUGCUUGCCUGGAGGCAGUAAUGGGCUGGAUGAGGGAUAACAAACUGAGGCUGAAUCCAGAUAAGACGUAGUUACUUAUUGUGCGGGGUUGAAACUCGGGAGACGGUUUUGAUCUGCUGGUUCUGGAUGAGGACACACUCCCGCAGAAGGAACAGGCACGCAGUCUGGGGGUGCUUCUGGAUCUGAACCUCUCCCCACGUCCCAGGUUGAGGCGGUGGCCAGAGGUGCUUUUUAUCAGCUUUGGCUGAUAUGCUAGCUGUGUCCUUUUUCUGAGAUGAACGUCAUCAAAACGAUCCUGAAAGAAGUCCUCUUAUGGAAUUUGUAUGCCUUCUGGAAGAAUGCUCUGAAGCCUUUGCCAACCAUAGCAACUGAAAAUAUAGGGUUAAAUAUCCCACUGAAGUGUGAUUAAUUUCUUAUUGAGUAGUACCUCACAUUAGAAUAAAAAUGUAUGGAAGUGCAAGAACAAUCAGUAACUUGGACGGCAGUCCUGCCAGAUCUCCUCGCUUGCCAAGAUCUCCUCGCCUGGGCCACAGGCGAACAAGUAGUGGAGGAGGUGGAGGGACGGGUAAGACGUUAUCGAUGGAGAAUAUCCAGUCACUUAAUGCCGCCUAUGCAACAUCUGGACCAAUGUAUCUGAGUGAUCAUGAAGGUGUGGCAUCCACUACUUUCCCAAAGGGCACAAUGACUCUUGGAAGGGCUACAAAUCGAGCUGUGUAUGGUGGUCGAGUUACAGCUAUGGGAAGCAGUCCUAAUAUAGCUUCCGCUGGCCUUUCCCACUCAGAUCUCCUUUCCUAUACCGAUCAGCAUGGGGGGCUGACAACUUCUGCACAUCAUCACCACCAUCAGCUCCCUUCUAUGCUGAGACAGGUAAGGGACAGCACCAUGCUAGAUCUCCAGGCUCAACUUAAGGAGUUACAGAGAGAGAAUGAACUUCUAAGGAAAGAACUAGACAUCAAGGACAGCAAGCUUGGCUCUUCUAUGAACAGCAUCAAAACCUUCUGGAGUCCUGAGCUCAAAAAGGAAAGGGUCUUGCGGAAAGAAGAAGCUGCUAGAAUGUCAGUUCUGAAAGAGCAGAUGAGGGUUUCUCAUGAGGAGAAUCAGUUUUUGGAUGCCAGGAGAACAAAGCAUCUUCAGCUAACUAUUCAGGCACUCCAAGAUGAGCUUCGAACCCAGAGAGACCUUAAUCAUCUCCUUCAACAAGAAAGUGGGAACCGAGGUGCUGAGCAUUUUACCAUUGAGCUCACAGAGGAGAAUUUUCGAAGGCUUCAAGCUGAACAUGAUAGACAGGCAAAAGAGCUAUUUCUCUUGAGAAAAACUCUGGAAGAAAUGGAGCUGAGAAUUGAAACACAGAAACAGACAUUGAAUGCCAGAGAUGAAUCCAUCAAAAAGCUUCUAGAAAUGUUGCAGAGCAAAGGUUUGCCUUCCAAAGGAAUGGACGAUGACAAUGAAAGAACUCGAAGGAUGGCAGAGGCUGAAUCUCAGGUUAAUCACUUAGAAGUGAUUCUAGACCAGAAAGAGAAAGAGAACAUACAUCUUCGAGAGGAACUGCACAGAAGAACCCAACUUCAGCCUGAACCAGCUAAGACGAAAGCUCUCCAGACUGUCAUAGAGAUGAAGAAAGAACCAUCUUUAUGUAUUGAUCCUGCUGUGAUAUUUCAGGACACAAAAAUAGCUUCACUGGAACGUAAUUUAAGAGACCUUGAAGAUGAAAUACAGAUGCUGAAGACAAACGGAGUUCUGAACACAGAAGAUCGAGAGGAAGAAAUCAAACAAAUCGAAGUUUACAAGAGUCACUCAAAGUUCAUGAAAAACAAGAUUGACCAGCUGAAGCAGGAGCUUUCAAAGAAAGAAUCAGAACUUCUUGCCUUACAAACUAAGCUUGAAACCCUUAGCAAUCAGAAUUCCGAUUGCAAGCAACACAUUGAAGUGCUUAAAGAGUCGCUUACUGCCAAAGAACAGAGAGCUGCCAUACUUCAGACAGAGGUUGAUGCCUUGAGAUUACGUUUAGAAGAAAAAGAAAGUUUUCUUAAUAAAAAAACCAAACAACUGCAAGACCUCACAGAAGAAAAGGGAACUCUGGCUGGAGAAAUUAGAGAUAUGAAAGAUAUGUUAGAAGUCAAAGAAAGAAAAAUUAAUGUUCUUCAAAAAAAGAUUGAAAAUCUUCAAGAACAACUUAGGGAUAAAGACAAGCAGCUUACCAAUCUGAAAGACCGAGUUAAAUCUUUGCAGACUGAUUCCAGUAAUACUGACACUGCUCUAGCAACUUUGGAAGAAGCUCUGUCAGAGAAGGAGAGAAUUAUAGAGCGACUAAAGGAGCAGAGGGAAAGAGAUGAUCGUGAAAGGAUUGAAGAAAUUGAAUCCUUUAAAAAAGAAAACAAAGACCUGAAGGAAAAAGUUAAUGCUUUACAAGCAGAGCUAACAGAAAAAGAGUCUAGUUUAAUUGACCUCAAAGAACAUGCAUCAUCACUGGCUUCAGCAGGGCUGAAAAGAGACUCCAAAUUAAAGUCUUUAGAAAUAGCCAUAGAGCAAAAGAAGGAGGAGUGUAGUAAGCUAGAAGCACAACUGAAAAAGCAAGCUGAACAGUUGUUCAAUCAGAUGUACAAUCCAAUGCCAAUUAGGAAUAAUGGGAAACAAGGGGCUCAUGAAGCUGAGGAGGAAGCCCGGAUGAAUCCUGAAUUUGCAGAUAGGAUGAAGCAGCUUGACAAAGAGGCAGCCUACUACAGAGACGAAUGUGGCAAAGCUCAAGCUGAAGUUGACAGACUUUUAGAAAUCCUCAAGGAAGUAGAGAAUGAAAAAAAUGACAAAGAUAAGAAAAUUGCAGAACUAGAAAGACAUAUGAAGGAUCAAAACAAGAAGGUGGCCAACCUGAAGCACAAUCAACAAAUGGAAAAGAAGAAGAAUGCCCAGUUGCUAGAAGAAGUUCGUAGGCGUGAAGACAAUAUGACAGACAAUGCUCAGCAUUUGCAGCUAGAAGAACUAAGGAAUGCACUGGAUAAGACCAGACAAGAACUGGAUUCCACUAAAGCAAGACUUGCCUCAACUCAGCAGUCUCUGGGUGAGAAAGAAGCACAUCUGGCUAAUUUAAGGAUAGAACGGAGAAAACAACUAGAGGAAAUACUGGAAAUGAAACAGGAAGCACUACUUGCUGCCAUCAGUGAAAAAGAUGCAAAUAUUGCCUUGCUUGAACUAUCCGCUUCAAAGAAAAAGAAAACUCAAGAAGAAGUGAUGGCUUUGAAAAGGGAGAAAGACAGAUUAGUCCAUCAAUUAAAACAACAGGUCUAUAGAAAUAGGAAACAGCCCCAGAGCAUGAACAUAUCAUCCAUUUGUGAUGCUGACUUCAUCACAGACAUUGGUGCCAAGUACCUGGGUUCCAGACAUGAUGCACAUAUGCCUCAGACACAGAACAGGAUGAAACUGAUGGCAGACAACUAUGAUGAUGACCAUCACCACUACCAUCACCACCACCAUCACCAUCACCACAGAUCUCCUGGGAGGACACAACACGCCAAUCACAGGCCCUCUCCAGAACAGAUGAUCCAGUCACUGUUGGAGGCACAUUGCCACGGCAAAAUCUCAUGCUGUACAUUGAUCACCUGUCCAACCUUUGCCUAGAGUGUGAUCCCCAGUUCCUUCAAGAGAUCCAACUUUACCUGUCUAUAAAGAAGAGGAGGAGGGAGACAUCUGGAAUAACCAGGCAUCAGAGCAUUAACACCAGAGCAGUUAUCGGAGGAGCUGGAGAAAGAAGCAGAAAAAAAUGCAGCACUGCAGGAUGAUGAGAGAAAGAAGAAGAGGAUGGUUUACUGCAGUGGAAAUCUGAAUGCAAUCACCACACUUGGAACACAGUCCCAGAAAGAUCACAUAAGUGAGUGGGGCAUACAAGGUUGCCAUCAAACAAUAUGCUGAAUAAAUGGGUGUCUUCUCCAUUAUUUCCAGUAAUCUAUUACAAAGUCAGAUACUUUGGAAAAUAAUGAAGGGGACUCAAUAGGAAAUUACAGAGAACUUCAUUUCCUUUAAUGGGGUCAUAUGAAUUAUUCCAUUUUUUAACCAAGUGGCCAUCUGUUCUGAACAUUACUAACUGAAGUUCACUGAAACACGAUCCUUAAUUUGACAGAUCUGUAUUAAUUUUAAUAUGUAAUUCAGGUUCCAUUAGCUGCAGUAUCAUCAUCUGAUGAUUCUGGCUAGUUUCUUCUAAAGUAUCACUUCUAAAGCACUAGAUUAUUAUAGAUACUAGCAAGCUGUUACAUAAUGGUGUUAGCAUUAAUUGUACUCCAAACGAUGUGGGCUUUUCAGGGUAAUAAAAACAAAGCCUUUACCCUCCUCUGUUUCUUAUCUUUAUUGUUAUUCAAACCAUGUUGAUAGUGUAAUCAGUAUUAAGCUCUGGGCCAGGUUGGAAAUGAAAUCAAUUUUUGGUACUAAUAUUUGUUGGCAUAUGAAAAUAUGGUGUGUGUCUCUGACAAUGCAUGGGGCAUCUAAAUUGAAAUUAUUUAUAUACAAUGGUUGAUGUAUGUCUGGAUGAUAAAAGCUUGAGGCAAGCAUGUGUACACCUAUAUGUAUACAAGCAUCUGUAAGGCUAUAUCAAACUUGUAUCAUCCAAAUGCACACCAGUAUUUAAUAUAAAGCUGGGACUCUUCGUUUAAAAAAAAUUAAAAUAAGAAUGUCGUGAUUAUUCGAUAUAUGCAUUAGGUCACCUUCAAGGGAAGGGACCGCUCAUUAUAGUUUUCUGAACAGGGAAACAAUACCUACCGUGGUUUAUAAUGUAUUUUAGAUAAUAAACAAAAAAAAUGUUAAUGAAUGAGGGGAUUACAAAAAAAAAAAUCUCUAUCAUCAAAAACAUUCUAGUAAAUGCAAACAUGUUAAAGCACAUGCUGCGGGGGAAAGCCAGGAAAAUAACUGAAGCUAUUAUAUGUAGUGACCAAAUAUUAUUGAUAAUAAAAUUUCUACUACUUCCCCAAAGUAAGGGUCUUUAUACACUUUAACAAGUUAUUUAACUCAAUCUGGCACACAUGAGCAUACAAAGGUUCAGUUUUUUUACUGGCACAUUUCUUUGUCAGUGGGAGGAGUACUCCCAGGCUUAUAUAAGUGGAUACUUACUAUCUGUAAUUCUAAAAACAAAUAAUAUGUGCAACCCAUCAAGUACUGUUGUGAAACUUCCAUUUAUUUUAAUGAGAUGUGUACAGGGCUUUACUAAAAGAAUGGAGGUCAUGCUACAGUAGUGGUUGAUGGACUGCCUCCCCAUGAAAUCAAACAUGUGUGGCCUUAAUUCUUAGUAUUUUAUUUUAUUUUAUUUUAUUUAUUUUGCUGCUGUGAACAAAAAGAUUCUAAACAGGAUAUUCCUAAAAUCUUGCACUGAAUUUAGAAAAAUGUCAUUAUUUUUUGGAUGGUUGAUCAUCCUGUAUGAGCCAUGCAUACUAAGUUCCCUGGAAAUUAUUAUUUGUCUAGAAAACAGUGAUUUAGUUAGUUGUACCAUCAUUCUUGAUGAAAUGAAAUAGCCACUUAAAUGCAAGCAGAAUUUCUGCUUGAUGUUAAUUAGAUUCAGUGAAUAGAAUAAUAAAUCUGUAUAAAAUAUGUAUAGUAUAGAAGAUAAUCCAUAUUGAUUUAUGUUAUAAAAGUUUGUCCUUUAUCUGUCAAUGGAGUUUUAAACCUUUGGGGUUUGUUUGUUUGUUUGUUUGUUUGUUUGUUUGUUUUUAAAAAAGCAAAGUUCCUGAAAGUUUCUUUAGCACAUAUGACAAAUGUUGCACUUGUGAACCUGGACAAUAAAAUGUGUUUCUUUUCACAAAUUUACUGUCCUAGUAAGAGACAACUGGCUGAGUACAACCCUCUGGAAGGUUCUCCUGAAUCAUUCAUCCAUUGGAAUGAAUGGCAGCUGCACAGUAAUGCAAGAGCUCUCAUUCAUUUCAGUGGAGUUUGUACAGGAGAGCUACCUGCAGAUUAUGCCCUCUGUGUCUCUUACAGUCAGGUCUUUACCUUAAUUCUGCAACUGAAUACUUGAAGUAGGAAAUAAACUAGGAAAAACAUAGGGUCCUUAAAAAAAAAACCUGUAUAGCUAGAUAUUUAUAUGUAUGUGCCAAUUUUGUCACAGAUAUUAUUUGGGGGCAUUUAUUUAUUUAUUUAUUGCUCUACUUAUGUUGGUAAGAGUAUUGCUCGUAUCUUUUAUCAAGGCCUAAGACUCAGCCUCUACAAAAGAAAAAUUUGUCUGACAUUGCUUUUUUAUUGUUUCAUUUCACAAGGCAUUCUAUGAUAUUUGGGGGGGGGGAAUCUUUUCAUACACUACAAUAGAAUCUCUGGGUUUACAAUAAACACUGUGAUGUUGGGCAAACAUUUUAUUCGAGCAAUGUUUAGUAGUUUUCUUUCCCCUCAAAAUGUAAAAAGUCAAACAAAUCUUUUGGUUAGCAUUUAAGAUGAGUAUUAUUUUACUGUGGGAUCAAGCCUGUACUGCACAUUCUUUCAUUUAAAUGUACAGAAUGAAUUUUGUAUUUAAAUGAAUUUUGUGUAUCCAGUAUGCACGUAAAUGCACAUUGACUUUCAUUUGAAAGUGAGUUUUGAUUUCCUUUUUAAACAGUGUUUAUGAAAAGACUUCAGAUGUGUCACAAAACCUAUACCUGCAUUUUCCUUUGGUGUAGAGUGAUUGUUUGAAUGUGAUGUUCUGCAACAAUGGGUCAGUAUUCCCUAUUUACCUUUGACCCUCCUUUGAUAGUGCUUCUUGUAAUAAUUUUCUUCAAGUGAGUGGCAUGUUCCGGAUUGUGAUCUUGACAUGUGGUUAAGGACAUUGAUAUGAAACUAAGGAAUCCUUAGAAAUUACCAGUGGGCAUGUUUUAGAACAGUCAUUGUAAAAUUAAUGUCUUGUAGAAGUGUAAAGUACCAAAGUAUUUAGAGUUCAUAACAUUGUUAUCAUGUGUAUGAGAAGUGCUUGGUGUUGAUCAGCUUGUUUAUAUUCAUCAAAUAAAUCUGGUUUCUUUCUGA